RNAcentral lists this long non-coding RNA (3380 nucleotides) under Capsicum annuum. RNAcentral's name for it is "long non-coding RNA (CANN_LNC020909)". Lineage: Eukaryota; Viridiplantae; Streptophyta; Magnoliopsida; Solanales; Solanaceae. The record is from RNAcentral.
UUCAUAGGAGUAUACAGGUGUCCGAAAUUUCUUUUUAGCAGUUGACUUCGAACUCUUAUUGGGGAUGAGGCCAAUCACCUUCACCACUGAAUGUCAUCUGUAUGCAAAUUUACAUCAAAACGUAUAAAAAUCAAGUCAUUUAUUCAUAUGUCAUGCGACUACACUUAAUAUGUUCAAGUUACUAGUACAUAUUUCAAGAUACUACACACAAACCAUUUUCAAAUAUUUAAUUGACAUUUUAUUUCACUAUACUUAACCAUUUUCAAAUAACUAAUAGACAUUUCAAGUAACUACACUUACCCAUUUUCAAGUCAAUAAGUACACAUUUCAAAUCACUACACUUAACUAUUUUCAAUUAACUAAAUCACAUUUCAAGUCAAUAUACUUAAUCAUUUUCAAGUAACUAUACUUUAUUAUUUUAAAGUUGUUAGUACGCAUUUCAAGUGACUACACUUAACCAUUUUCAAGCAUCAAGUUCACAAUUUCAAGUAACUACAGUUAACCGUUUUCAAGUCACAAGUUCACAAUUUCAAGUAACUACACUUAAUCAUUUUCAAGUCACUACAAUUAAUAAUUUUCAAAUAACUUAUUCACUAGUACACAUUUCAAGUCACUAAACUCAAACCAUUUUCAAAUAGCUAAUUAACAUUUCAAGUCACUAUACUUAANNNNNNNNNNNNNNNNNNNNNNNNNNNNNNNNNNNNNNNNNNNNNNNNNNNNNNNNNNNNNNNNNNNNNNNNNNNNNNNNNNNNNNNNNNNNNNNGUAACUACUUUACAUUUAAAAUAACUAUACUUAACCGUUUUCAAGUCACUACACUUAAUCAUUCAUUUCAAGUCACUAUACUUAACCACUUUCAAGUAACUAAUUCACGUUUCAAGUGACUACACUUAACCAUUUUCAAAUCACUAGUAACUGAUUUCAAGUCAAAAGUUUGCAAUUUCAAGUAACUACACCAAACCAUUUUCAAGUCACUACACUUAAUAAUUUUCAAAUAACUUAUUCUCAUUUCAAGUCACUACACUUGAACCAUUUCAAAUAGCUAAUUAACAUUUCAAUUCAUUAUACUUAACCAUUUUCAAGUCAUGUACUAGCAUUUCAAGUCACUAGACUUAAUCAUUUUCAAAUAACUAGUAGACAUUUCAAGUCACUACACUUAACAAUUUUUCAAAUAACUAAUUCACAUUUCAAGUCACUACACUUAACCAUUUUCAAAUAAUUAAUUCACAUUUCAAGUCACUACACUUGACCAUUUUCAAAUAAUUAAUUCACAUUUCAAGUCACUAUACUUAACCAUUUUCAAGUAACUACUUUACAUUUAAAAUAACUAUACUUAACCAUUCUCAAGUCACUACACUUAAUCAUUCAUUUCAAGUCACUAUACGUAACCACUUUCAAGUAACUAAUUCACAUUUCAAGUAACUAAACUUAACAAUUUUCAAGUCACUAGUAACCGAUUUCAAGUCACAAGUUUGCAAUUUCAAGUAACUACACUAAACCAUUUAAAAGUCACUGCACUACACUUAAUAAUUUUCAAAUAACUUAUUCACAUUUCAAGUCAAUACACUCAAACCAUUUCAAAUAGCUAAUUAACAUUUCAAGUCACUAUACUUAACCAUUUUUGAGUAACUACACUUAACCAUUUUCAAGUCAUGUACUAGCAUUUCAAGUCUCUAUACUUAAUCAUUUUCAAGUCACAAGUUCUCAAUUUCAAGCAACUACAUUUAAUCAUUUUCAAGUCACUACACUUAAUAAUUUUCAAAUAACUUAUUCACAUUUCAAGUCACUAGUACAUAUUUCAAGUCAUUUUCAAGUCAUGUAUUAGCAUUUUAAGUCACUACACUUAACUAUUUUCAGUUAACUAAUUCACAUUUUCAAGUCACUAUAUUUAACUAUUUUCAAAUAACUACACUUAACCAUUUUCAAGUCACUAGUUAUUUUACAAAUGAUUUUACAAAAAUCACCGUUAACACAUUUGCAAAAAAUUAAUGAUUUUGAUUAGGAAAUAAAUAAAUCUUUUCAAUAGAAUGAUUCUAAAUGGAGUGAAAAAUACUAUGCAAGAAAAGAAAGAAGGAAAACAAAAGCAUCUCAGAAAUGUUCCCCUAUUAUUAUCUUCAUUCAACAAUCAAAUGGCAAGGAUAACAAAUUGGAUUAUUCAUCAUUGAUGCCUUUUACGAGAAAAGGAAGAUAUUGCAUAAAACAAAUAAGAAAAGACUAAACAGAAGAGAUUGGAAAUAUCUAAAGUUUAGAUAUUAAAUUUAUCUAUUUUUAAUUUACCUCUAAAAAUUAGUCCAACUAACUUUUGAAAAGUGAAAUAUUACAAGUAAAAGUGAACAGAGAGAGUAGCUAUUUGAUGUGAGGCAGACAAAGGUCCACAUCUUGAACUAUCAGACUCAUAUCAAAGUCAUUUUCGCUAAACUUUUUUUUCAUUCAAAAGUUUUGAGGUGAAAGAUUAAGGAUCUAUCUGUUUUAUUUCUUGUACAAGGACAAGUAGACAUUAUUAGAUGCUUCUCAAUUUACUACUACUACUACUAACGCAUGGUGUAAACAGAAAGUGACAAUGUGACCUUAAACAUAGGCUUAAAAGAGGGCCAAAGUCUAUGUUGCUUUUUCAAAAUCGAAAAAAUCCAUUUUCCAACUUCUUUUCAAUCUUUUCUAUGUUUUGUACUACUUGAUAUUGAUGAAAAUAUCACUUUAUUCUUUUGUGGAUGAUGUAUGAAACAUCUUUUCAAUGUUUAAUAUGUUAUAAAGGUCAAAUCAAAGUUAUAGAAUCACAAUAAUUGAAUAUUCAAGGAAUUCAAUUUAAAAACAACUUAUAUAAAUGCACCUCUAACAGUAACGGUAUAAUAAUAAUUUUCAGGAAUAAUAUUUGGAACAAAAUAAUUGUAUUGUUGAACAGCUUGACAAGGUGAUACAUUUGGACCAAAAGAUAUAAUAAAAAAAUAUCAGUGAAUUUUAACCACAUCCUUCAUAAAUAGGUCCAAGGGCAUCCCAAAAUUUUUCUAUACAUUAUUAGUUGUUCCUGUGCUAGAACUAUACCAAAAGAUGGCUUUCUUUAUUUAGUAUGAUGUUAGAUCUCAGAAAAGUGAAAUACGAAAAAAAUUAAUAUAUCCUAAAAAUAGAGUUUGCUACAGAUUAUGAAAGUACAAAUAGAGAUAGCUCUUACCAAAGCCAAGCAGAUCACUGGUUUGUGUUGGACUGCGGCGCUUCAACGUGGGGAAGGGAUCAAGGAAGCGGCAACAGCUAUGGCUGCUUCGCCGGCUGCUGCUGGCAUUGGGCGACGACGCUUUGGCAGUGGGACGACGCUGGUUCGAUUGAUGGCUGGCGACGGAGAGAACGACGACCAUGGUUGUUUGUAAGAGAGAGGAGGUAGAGAGAUGGG